Molecule: ribosomal RNA, 496 nt
Filed under: uncultured bacterium
Lineage: Bacteria
Description: partial 16S ribosomal RNA
Rfam family: Bacterial small subunit ribosomal RNA
Source: RNAcentral
AUGAACGCUGGCGGCGUGCCUAAUACAUGCAAGUCGAGCGAACGGACGAGAAGCUUGCUUCUCUGAUGUUAGUGGCGGACGGGUGAGUAACACGUGGAUAACCUACCUAUAAGACUGGGAUAACUUCGGGAAACCGUAGCUAAUACCGGAUAAUAUUUUGAACCGCAUGGUUCAAAAGUGAAAGACGGUCUUGCUGUCACUUAUAGAUGGAUCCGCGCUGCAUUAGCUAGUUGGUAAGGUAACGGCUUACCAAGGCAACGAUGCAUAGCCGACCUGAGAGGGUGAUCGGCCACACUGGAACUGAGACACGGUCCAGACUCCUACGGGAGGCAGCAGUAGGGAAUCUUCCGCAAUGGGCGAAAGCCUGACGGAGCAACGACGCGUGAGUGAUGAAGGUCUUCGGAUCGUAAAACUCUGUUAUUAGGGAAGAACAUAUGUGUAAGUAACUGUGCACAUCUUGACGGUACCUAAUCAGAAAGCCACGGCUAACUACGUG